RNAcentral lists this small RNA (199 nucleotides) under Mytilus galloprovincialis (Mediterranean mussel). Lineage: Eukaryota; Metazoa; Mollusca; Bivalvia; Mytilida; Mytilidae. The record is from RNAcentral.
CGUCUAAACAUCAACCCAACAAUGUUAGAUCUGUAAAUUUGCUUUCGCAAAUUUUGGUUCUUCCCUCGCCGGGAUUUCGAACCCAUGCAUGGGUUCGAAUCCCGGCGAGGGGAAGAACCAAAAAUUUGCGAAAGCAAAUUUACAGAUCUAACAUUGUUGGGUUGAUGUUUAGACGAGUUGUAUAUAUAUAUAUAUAUAU